AAGUCGUAACAAGGUUUCCGUAGGUGAACCUGCGGAAGGAUCAUUAACGUGCCCGCGAGGCCGGUGGUCGUCCCGCGGCCGCCGGUUCUUGCAUCCGGCCCAUCCUUGUCUAUCUUACCUGUUGCUUCGGCGGGCCUGCGGGCGGUGUCUGACGCCGUCCGCUGCCGGGAGGGUUCUUCCCUCCGGGCUCGCGUCCGCCGAAGGUCACCUGAAACCCUGUUGUAAAUCUGGCGGUCUCAGUGAACGGAUAAUCGUUAAAACUUUCAACAACGGAUCUCUUGGUUCCAACAUCGAUGAAGAACGCAGCGAAAUGCGAUAAGUAAUGUGAAUUGCAGAAUUCCGUGAAUCAUCGAAUCUUUGAACGCACAUUGCGCCUCCCGGUAUCCCGGGAGGCAUGCCUGUCCGAGCGUCAUUGCAACCCCUCAAGCGCGGCUUGUGUGUUGGGUCGAACGUCCCGCGUGGACGGGCCCGAAAGGCAGUGGCGGCGUCGUGACCGGUGCCUGAGCGUAUGGGUCUUGUUAUCCGCUCGGUGGCCCGGUCCGGUGCUCGCCUUGACCGUCAACGUCUCUCGUGGUUGACCUCGGAUCAGGUAGGGAUACCCGCUGAACUUAA
Molecule: ribosomal RNA, 612 nt
Filed under: uncultured fungus
Lineage: Eukaryota; Fungi
Description: eukaryotic LSU rRNA
Rfam family: 5.8S ribosomal RNA (bases 259-412)
Source: RNAcentral